RNAcentral lists this ribosomal RNA (253 nucleotides) under uncultured bacterium. RNAcentral's name for it is "partial 16S ribosomal RNA". It matches the Rfam family "Bacterial small subunit ribosomal RNA", at positions 524 to 776 of the family's 1533-position model. The record is from RNAcentral.
UACGGAAGGUGCAAGCGUUGUUCGGAUUGACUGGGCGUAAAGAGCACGUAGGCGGGUUUGUAAGUCGAUUGUGAAAGCCCCGGGCUUAACCUGGGAACGGCAAUCGAAACUGCGAAUCUUGAAUACCUGAGGGGUUAGUGGAAUUCCUGGUGUAGGAGUGAAAUCCGUAGAUAUCAGGAGGAACACCGGCGGCGAAGGCGGCUAACUGGCAGGAUAUUGACGCUGAGGUGCGAAAGCGCGGGGAGCAAACAGG